CAGUCGCCGCGGGAAUACGGAGGGCGCGAGCGUUACCCGGAUUUACUGGGCGUAAAGGGCGUGUAGGCGGCCUGGGGCGUCCCAUGUGAAAGGCCACGGCUCAACCGUGGAGGAGCGUGGGAUACGCUCAGGCUAGAGGGUGGGAGAGGGUGGUGGAAUUCCCGGAGUAGCGGUGAAAUGCGCAGAUACCGGGAGGAACGCCGAUGGCGAAGGCAGCCACCUGGUCCACUUCUGACGCUGAGGCGCGAAAGCGUGGGGAGCAAACCGGAUUAGAUACCCGAGUAGUCCCUGUCUCUUAUAC
Molecule: ribosomal RNA, 301 nt
Filed under: uncultured bacterium
Lineage: Bacteria
Description: partial 16S ribosomal RNA
Rfam family: Bacterial small subunit ribosomal RNA
Source: RNAcentral